This 253-nucleotide ribosomal RNA is filed under the name uncultured bacterium. RNAcentral's name for it is "partial 16S ribosomal RNA". It matches the Rfam family "Bacterial small subunit ribosomal RNA", at positions 524 to 776 of the family's 1533-position model. The record is from RNAcentral.
UACAGAGGGUGCAAGCGUUGUUCGGAAUUAUUGGGCGUAAAGGGCGCGUAGGCGGCUCGGUAAGGUUGCGGUGAAAGCCCGGGGCUCAACCCCGGGUCGGCCGUGGCAACUGCUGAGCUAGAGCACUGUAGAGGCAGGUGGAAUUCCGGGUGUAGCGGUGGAAUGCGUAGAGAUCCGGAAGAACACCGGUGGCGAAGGCGGCCUGCUGGGCAGUGGCUGACGCUGAUGCGCGACAGCGUGGGGAGCAAACAGG